AUUGAACGCUGGCGGCAUGCCUUACACAUGCAAGUCGAACGGCAGCAUGAUCUAGCUUGCUAGAUUGAUGGCGAGUGGCGAACGGGUGAGUAAUACAUCGUAACGUGCCCUGUAGUGGGGGAUAACUAGUCGAAAGAUUAGCUAAUACCGCAUACGACCUGAGGGUGAAAGUGGGGGACCGCAAGGCCUCAUGCUAUAGGAGCGGCCGAUGUCUGAUUAGCUAGUUGGUGAGGUAAAGGCUCACCAAGGCGACGAUCAGUAGCUGGUCUGAGAGGACGAUCAGCCACACUGGGACUGAGACACGGCCCAGACUCCUACGGGAGGCAGCAGUGGGGAAUUUUGGACAAUGGGCGAAAGCCUGAUCCAGCAAUGCCGCGUGUGUGAAGAAGGCCUUCGGGUUGUAAAGCACUUUUGUCCGGAAAGAAAUGGCUCUGGUUAAUACCUGGGGUCGAUGACGGUACCGGAAGAAUAAGGACCGGCUAACUACGUG
This 490-nucleotide ribosomal RNA is filed under the name uncultured bacterium. Its description in RNAcentral is "partial 16S ribosomal RNA". It matches the Rfam family "Bacterial small subunit ribosomal RNA", at positions 30 to 507 of the family's 1533-position model. The record is from RNAcentral.